RNAcentral lists this ribosomal RNA (311 nucleotides) under uncultured eukaryote. RNAcentral's name for it is "partial 18S ribosomal RNA". It matches the Rfam family "Eukaryotic small subunit ribosomal RNA", at positions 1470 to 1796 of the family's 1831-position model. The record is from RNAcentral.
CCCCUAGACGUUCUGGGCUGCACGCGCGCUACAAUAAUACGCACAGCGAGUAUCACCGAGCUCGAAAGGGCAAGGUAAACAAUAGAAAAGGUACUGUAAUGGUUAUAGAUCCUUGUAAUUAUUGAUCUUCAACGAGGAAUUCCUAGUAAGUAUGUGUCAUCAUCACGCACUGAUUACGUCCCUGCCCUUUGUACACACCGCCCGUCGCUCCUACCGAUUGGGUGAGCCGAUGUAACUCUCGGAUGUAGGCUAUUCAUAGCCCGCAGAAGAGAUUUGAAUCGUAGCGCUUAGAGGAAGGAGAAGUCGUAACA